UACGUAGGGUGCAAGCGUUAAUCGGAAUUACUGGGCGUAAAGCGUGCGUAGGCGGCUAUGUAAGUCAGAUGUGAAAUCCCUGGGCUUAACCUAGGAACUGCAUUUGUGACUGCAUUGCUAGAGUGUGGUAGAGGGAGAUGGAAUUCCGCAUGUAGCAGUGAAAUGCGUAGAUAUGCGGAGGAACACCAAUGGCGAAGGCAAUCUCCUGGACCGGCACUGACGCUCAUGCACGAAAGCGUGGGGAGCAAACAGG
RNAcentral lists this ribosomal RNA (253 nucleotides) under uncultured bacterium. RNAcentral describes it as "partial 16S ribosomal RNA". It matches the Rfam family "Bacterial small subunit ribosomal RNA", at positions 524 to 776 of the family's 1533-position model. The record is from RNAcentral.